Long non-coding RNA from Oncorhynchus tshawytscha (Chinook salmon), 2550 nucleotides. RefSeq lists it as uncharacterized. The record is from RefSeq and is a predicted model, not a curated record. The transcript is spliced from 9 exons. NCBI's taxonomy places the organism in Eukaryota, Metazoa, Chordata, Actinopteri, Salmoniformes, Salmonidae.
UUUAAGCUGCUUGCCUCAGAAUCAUUGUCUGACUAUAACUGCAGCAUUUUCUAAGUUAGUCAUUAUUACACCAAUACGAAUGGACUCAUCAACCAAAAUAUCUCUACAUCGCUCUUCAAUGUGGUCAGGAGGAAGGGUGCCAUUGUCUAGAUACAGGGUAGAGGUUAGAGGUGGGUAACCAUGGGGAAGGGUGUCUAGCUAAAGGGUAGAGGUCAGAGGUGGGUAACCAGGAGCAGUGUGGGUGGAGGUUAGAGGUGGGUAACCAGGGGCAGUGUGGGUAGAGGUUAGAGGUGGGUAACCAUGGGGAAGGGUGCCUAGAUACAGGGUAGAGGUUAGAGGUGGGUAACCAUGGGGAAGGGUGCCUAGAUACAGGGUAGAGGUUAGAGGUGGGUAACCAGGGGCAGUGUGGGUAGAGGUUAGAGGUGGGUAACCAUGGGGAAGGGUGUCUAGCUAAAGGGUAGAGGUUAGAGGUGGGUAACCAUGGGGAAGGGUGUCUAGAUACAGGGUAGAGGUUAGAGGUGGGUAACCAUGGGGAAGGGUGUCUAGAUACAGGGUAGAGGUUAGAGGUGGGUAACCAGGGGCAGUGUGGGUAGAGGUUAGAGGUGGGUAACCAUGGGGAAGGGUGUCUAGAUACAGGGUAGAGGUUAGAGGUGGGUAACCAUGGGGAAGGGUGUCAAGGUAAAGGGUAGAGGUCAGAGGUGGGUAACCAGGGGCAGUGUGGGUGGAGGUUAGAGGUGGGUUACCAUGGGGAAGGGUGUCUAGCUAAAGUGUAGAGGUCAGAGGUGGGUAUCCAGGGGCAGUGUGGGUGGAGGUUAGAGGUGGGUAACCAUGGGGAAGGGUGUCUAGCUAAACGGUAGAGGUUAGAGGUGGGUAACCAGGGGCAGUGUGGGUUGAGGUUAGAGGUGGGUAACCAUGGGGAAGGGUGUCUAGAUACAGGGUAGAGGUUAGAGGUGGGUAACCAUGGGGAAGGGUACCUAGAUACAGGGUAGAGGUUAGAGGUGGGUAACCAGGGUCAGUGUGGGAGGAGGUUAGAGGUGGGUAACCAGGGUCAGUGUGGGUAGAGGUUAGAGGUGGGUAACUAGGGGCAGUGUGGGUGGAGGUUAGAGGUGGGUAACCAUGGGGAAGGGUGCCUAGAUACAGGGUAGAGGUUAGAGGUGGGUAACCAGGGGCAGUGUGGGUAGAGGUUAGAGGUGGGUAACCAGGGGCAGUGUGGGUAGAGGUUAGAGGUGGGUAACUAGGGGCAGUGUGGGUAGAGGUUAGAGGUGGGUAACCAUGGGGAAGGGUGUCAAGGUAAAGGGUAGAGGUCAGAGGUGGGUAUCCAGGGGCAGUGUGGGUGGAGGUUAGAGGUGGGUAACCAUGGGGAAGGGUGUCUAGCUAAAGGGUAGAGGUCAGAGGAGGGUAACCAGGGUCAGUGUGGGAGGAGGUCAGAGGUGGGUAACCAGGGGCAGUGUAGGUGGAGGUUAGAGGUGGGUAACCAUGGGGAAGGGUGUCUAGCUAAAGGGUAGAGGUCAGAGGUGGGUAACCAGGGGCAGUGUGGGUGGAGGUUAGAGGUGGGUAACCAUGGGGAAGGGUGUCUAGCUAAAGGGUAGAGGUCAGAGGUGGGUAACCAGGGGCAGUGUAGGUGGAGGUUAGAGGUGGGUAACCAUGGGGAAGGGUGCCUAGAUACAGGGUAGAGGUUAGAGGUGGGUAACCAGGGGCAGUGUGGGUGGAGGUUAGAGGUGGGUAACCAUGGGGAAGGGUGUCUAGCUAAAGGGUAGAGAUCAGAGGUGGGUAACCAGGGGCAGUGUGGGUAAAGGUUAGAGGUGGGUAACCAGGGGCAGUGUGGGUAGAGGUUAGAGGUGGGUAACUAGGGGCAGUGUGGGUAGAGGUUAGAGGUGGGUAACCAUGGGGAAGGGUGUCAAGGUAAAGGGUAGAGGUCAGAGGUGGGUAACCAGGGGCAGUGUGGGUGGAGGUUAGAGGUGGGUUACCAUGGGGAAGGGUGUCUAGCUAAAGGGUAGAGGUCAGAGGUGGGUAUCCAGGGGCAGUGUGGGUGGAGGUUAGAGGUGGGUAACCAUGGGGAAGGGUGUCUAGCUAAAGGGUAGAGGUCAGAGGUGGGUAACCAGGGGCAGUGUAGGUGGAGGUCAGCGGUGGGUAACCAGGGGGAAGGGUAUCUAGCUAAAGGGUAGAGGUCAGAGGUGGGUAACUAGGGGCAGUGUGGGUGGAGGUUAGAGGUGGGUAACCAUGGGGAAGGGUGCCUAGAUACAGGGUAGAGAUUAGAGGUGGGUAACCAUGGGGAAGGGUGCCUAGAUACAGGGUAGAGGUUAGAGGUGGGUAACCAGGGGCAGUGUGGGUGGAGGUUAGAGGUGGGUAACCAUGGGGAAGGGUGUCUAGCUAAAGGGUAGAGGUCAGAGGAGGGUAACCAGGGUCAGUGUGGGAGGAGGUCAGAGGUGGGUAACCAGGGGCAGUGUGGGUAGAGGUUAGAGGUGGGUAACCAGGGGCAGUGUGGGUAGAGGUUAGAGGUGGGUAACCAUGGGGAAGGGUGUCUAGCUAAAGGGUAGAGGUCAGAGGUGG